UACGGCCCAGGGUAAAAAUAAAUAAAUAGAUCUAAGCAGAAACCCUAAUCUUACGACACCCCCAGAAGGAUUCAGCGGAACAAAAGAAGAUGAAGAUGCCUAUGAUGAUGAAGCAGGCGCAGACGAUUUUGACCAAGUAUGGUCGGAGGGGGAUUUCAUCCAUCGCCGAAUCCCCAAUGCCCGCGAGGGUCAAGCAUGUCUGGGAGACGCAGGACAAACUAGUUCUGGGUUUAGCGUUUGUGGGUGGAUGGUUCGCGAAAGCUUCCUUAAAUGUUUUGAAGAGAAGAGAGGAUUGGUACAGAGUUCACAAAUUUGUUGAUGAUGAGAAGAAGCGUCUUGAAGAGAAGCGUGCCCGUAAUGAAAAGGAAAUGGGUAUUGAUAUCUAGGAUGGUCAAGUGUGGACGUCCUUCUCUUGAAGAUGAAACCAAGUGAUUGCGUCUCUUUGUUUCUCUUUCGGUUUUUGUUUGCCAGUCAUUGUGUCUUUUAAAUCUUUUAUGUUUAUGUUGAUGAACACAUUAUCUGUAAGAACUACUACUUUAUGUUUGUGUCAUGUUUUAUCUGGGGCUUAGAUUGUGGCUAGAGAACUGUUAUGUAGAAAAUGAACUUUCCACCCUUAGGAUUUGGUUUUGUGCUCUGGAAUGUUUAGCUACGAGUCUGAUCUGAA
Brassica oleracea var. oleracea is the source of this 664-nucleotide long non-coding RNA. RefSeq lists it as uncharacterized. The transcript has 4 exons. The record is from RefSeq and is a predicted model, not a curated record. Lineage: Eukaryota; Viridiplantae; Streptophyta; Magnoliopsida; Brassicales; Brassicaceae.